GAGAGAGAGAAAGAGAGCGAGAGAGAGAGAGAUAGAGAAAGAGAGAGAGAGCGAGAGAGAAAGAGAGAGAGAGAGAGAGAGAGAGAGAGAGAGAGAGAGUGUGUGUGUGUGUGUCGCAUGCUCCAUGGUGAUUAAUAGGUUAAAGGUUCAGUGUUGAGCUGUAACUUGUUCCGUCAUCGAUGGACUUUGUCACUUUGGCUCCAUGUCAAUCGGAGGAAUUGGAAUUUCCUUGGGAUAGAGGAUUGUGUGUCAUCAUAGUGUUUGUGUGUCAUCAGAUAUCCAUUGAUAUAUUGUAAGCAAACUUGUAUUUAGCCUUGUAUAUGGCCUCGUUAUUGUGUUUAUUGUGUUACUAUUUCCUUUUUACUUAGCAAAUAUUUGUCUUACGUUUUUAACUCUGUAUUGUUGUGAAUGGGCUCAUAAGUAAGCAUUUCACUGUAAAGUCUACACCUGUUGUAUUCUGCGAAUGUAACCAAUACACUUGGUCACAGGUAGCCUAGUGGUUAGAGCAUUGUGCCUGUAACCGAAAGGUUGCUGGAUCGAAUCCUCUAGCUGACAAGGUAAAAAUCUGUCGUUCUGCCCCUGAACAAGGCAGUUAGCCCACUGCACCCCGGUAGGCCGUCAUUAUAAAUAAGAAUUUGUUCUUAACUGACUUGCCUAGUUAAAUAAAGGUUUAAAAAAAUGGGGCUCUAAAGUGGUGCAGCGGUCUAAGGCACUGCAUCUCAGUGCUAGAGGCGUCACUACAGACUCUGGUUUGAUUCCAGGCUGUUUCACAACCGGCAGUGAUUGGGAGAACCAUAGGGGACACACAAUUGGCUCACUGUUAUCCGGGUUUGGCCGGGGUAUGCCGUCAUCGUAAAUAAGAAUUUGUUCUUAACUGACUUGCUUAGUUAAAUGAAGGUUAAAUAAAAUGAAACAUUUUUAAAUUGAUUUGAACUUCAAGUUUUCCAUGCUGGAUUAGUGAGCUCCACAGAACUUGUUCAUUUAUUAGUGGGACAACCAUGCAGACCCCUGGGCUUGAGUUCUAGCUGAAAUGCCGGUGGUAGCUGGUCCGCUGCAGGAAAAUUAGGUAUGGGAGGUCCCUCCACCCCCCCUGGACAUCGGGGGGCCCCCGGUGUACACAGUCCGGUUGGACCCAGCGCUCAUCCGGGAGUUUCACAGCCUCCAUCCGGAUCGCCCUGCGCCUCGCCCUCCGGGCGUCCUCGAGGCCGGCGUCGGCGCGCUGCGGGAGCCGCGCGUCAGGGGGGGAGUACUGUCACGACACUGACGGAUGGUGGCGCCCCUCCUCGGCCGGGCGGGGCUCGGCGGUCGUCGUCGCCGGCCUACUAGCUGCCAUCGAUCCUUUUUUGUUUCACUUUCUGUUGGUUAGGUCUAGGUAGGCACGCACCUGUUUUGGGUUAGUUAUUAGUAGGGGGGGGUUAUGUGUAGGAUGUCUGUGUUUGUGCGUGAUUAUGUUUCUUGUCCGUUUUGUGUGAUUGAAGAACGUGUGCUGGUUUUCCUCUGCCUGUGGUUGGUUUCUUUGUGUUCACCACCGCAGAAGUAUUGCGUCC
This 1547-nucleotide long non-coding RNA is filed under the name Salmo salar (Atlantic salmon). RNAcentral describes it as "lncRNA (ENSSSAG00000084412.1)". The record is from RNAcentral. Lineage: Eukaryota; Metazoa; Chordata; Actinopteri; Salmoniformes; Salmonidae.